GCCCUGGUGGUGAAAUAGGUAGACACAAGGGAUUUAAAAUCCCUCGACUUUCGAGUCGUGCCGGUUCAAGUCCGGCCCGGGGCACCA
RNAcentral lists this transfer RNA (87 nucleotides) under Vibrio cholerae. RNAcentral's name for it is "tRNA-Leu". It matches the Rfam family "tRNA". From Rfam's summary of the family: Transfer RNA (tRNA) molecules are approximately 80 nucleotides in length. Their secondary structure includes four short double-helical elements and three loops (D, anti-codon, and T loops). Lineage: Bacteria; Pseudomonadati; Pseudomonadota; Gammaproteobacteria; Vibrionales; Vibrionaceae. The record is from RNAcentral.